GAUGAAGAACGCAGCGAAAUGCGAUAAGUAAUGUGAAUUGCAGAAUUCAGUGAAUCAUCGAAUCUUUGAACGCACAUUGCGCCCUUUGGUAUUCUGGCGGGCAUGCCUGUUCGAGCGUCAUUUCAACCCUCAAGCUCAGCUUGGUGUUGGGACUCGCGGUAACCCGCGUUCCCCAAAUCGAUUGGCGGUCACGUCGAGCUUCCAUAGCGUAGUAAUCAUACACCUCGUUACUGGUAAUCGUCGCGGCCACGCCGUAAAACCCCAACUUCUGAAUGUUGACCUCGGAUCAGGUAGGAAUACCCGCUGAACUUAAGCAUAUCAAUAAGCGGAGGA
This 333-nucleotide unclassified non-coding RNA is filed under the name soil metagenome. RNAcentral's name for it is "partial contains 5.8S ribosomal RNA, internal transcribed spacer 2, and large subunit ribosomal RNA". The stretch from base 1 to 120 matches the Rfam family "5.8S ribosomal RNA", at positions 35 to 154 of the family's 154-position model. The record is from RNAcentral.